Molecule: ribosomal RNA, 253 nt
Filed under: uncultured bacterium
Lineage: Bacteria
Description: partial 16S ribosomal RNA
Rfam family: Bacterial small subunit ribosomal RNA
Source: RNAcentral
UACGUAGGGUGCAAGCGUUGUCCGGAAUUAUUGGGCGGAAAGAGCUCGUAGGCGGUUUGUUGCGUCGGCUGUGAAAUCCCGAGGCUCAACCUCGGGCCUGCAGUCGAUACGAGCAAACUAGAGUGUUGCAGGGGAGACUGGAAUUCCUGGUGUAGCGGUGAAAUGCGCAGAUAUCAGGAGGAACACCGGUGGCGAAGGCGGGUCUCUGGGCAACAACUGACGCUGAGGAGCGAAAGCGUGGGGAGCGAACAGG